UAUCAGUAAGUUUCAUCUCUAAGUUCCAUUCACCAUUCUCUCCUUUCUUCUAUAAUAAGCAUAUAGGACUAGUUCCAUUGUCCGUUCUUUUAUUAUAACCAGGAAGAUGAAGAACAUGCCAUUGCAGAGUGGUCGAGGAAUUUGUCGGCAGCACUAGUCGGCGGCGGCAAAAAGUCAUUUUUAGAGGCUAUUUCUAAGUCUUUAAGCUCGGGAUACCAAGAUUUGGUGACUGCCUGCCUAACAACUAUAGCGUGGUUGACCGGUGUAUUACCAUCACCAACCGGUGCUGAGUUGCAGCAGACCAUAUGCACUCUCAUCCCACAGCUCAAACAAAGCCUUGAAAGUGGGGAACAAGUUAAACAUAAGAUUUUUGCUUCAAUGUCCUUCCUGAACUCAAGUAAAGUUCCAGAAUACAGGGUACUGCUAAUGACAAUUGCAGAAGAGAUGGUGAUUCCUCUAAGAUGCCUUGCUGAUAUAACAUGGACAGCAAAGGAGCUAUACACCAUAACUUCCGCUACGACAGACCUCUAAAUUUUAGGAAGAUGCUGCUGCUCUUGCUUCCACAGUUCUAAAGUUUUGCAUAUAUUUAUGUUUGAUAAAAUGUCGUAUACUUCUGUAAACAUGUAAAGAAAGUUUCUAGUUCUCCCUGAUUCUUAGAACUGUUAAUAGAAUUAUCAUCAAGAAC
This is a long non-coding RNA of Hibiscus syriacus, 685 nucleotides long. RefSeq lists it as uncharacterized. The transcript is spliced from 2 exons. The record is from RefSeq and is a predicted model, not a curated record. Lineage: Eukaryota; Viridiplantae; Streptophyta; Magnoliopsida; Malvales; Malvaceae.